RNAcentral lists this ribosomal RNA (1171 nucleotides) under Gorilla gorilla gorilla (western lowland gorilla). Its description in RNAcentral is "SSU rRNA". It matches the Rfam family "Eukaryotic small subunit ribosomal RNA", at positions 628 to 1823 of the family's 1831-position model. The record is from RNAcentral. Lineage: Eukaryota; Metazoa; Chordata; Mammalia; Primates; Hominidae.
UCGUAGUUGGAUCUUGGGAGUAGGCGGGUGGGCGAGCCACGACCCAUCCGUGCCCCUUGCCUCUCGGCACCCCCUCGAUGCUCUUAGCUGAGUGUCCCGCGGCCCGAAGCAUUUACUUUGAAAAAGUUAGAGUGUUCAAAGCAGGCCCGAGCCACCUGGAUACCGCAGCUAGGAAUGAUGGAAUAGGACCACGGUUCUAUUUUGUUGGUUUUCAGAACUGAGGCCAUGAUUAAGAGGGACAGCCAUGGGCAUUCGUAUUGCGCCCCUAGAAGUGAAAGUCUUGGACCUGCGCAGUUCGGACCAGAGCGAAAGCAUAUGCCAAGAAUGUUUUCAUUAACCAACAAUGAAAGUUAGAGGUUUGAAGAUGAUCAGAUACAGUCGUAGUUCUGACCAUAAACGAUGCUGAGUGGCGAUGUGGUGGCGUUAUUUCCAUGACCCGCUGGGCAGCUUCCAAGAAACCAAAGUCUUUGGGUUUUUGGGUUCUGGGGGGAGUAUGGUUGCAAAGCUGAAACUUAAAGGAUUUGGUGGAAGGGCACCACCAGGAGUGGAGCCUGCGGCUUAUUUUGACUCAACACGGGAAACCUCACCCGGCCUGGACUCGGACAGGAUUGACAGAUUGAUAGCUCUUUCUUGAUUCCAUGGGUUGUGGUGCAUGGCCUUAGUUGGUGGAGUGAUUUGUCUGGUUAAUUCUGAUAACGAACGAGACUCUGGCAUGCUAACUAGUUACGCGACCCCCGAGCAGUCGGCAUCCCCCAACUUCUUAGAGGGACAAGUGGCGUUCAGCCACCCGAGAUUGAGCAAUAAGCGGUCUGUGCUGCCCUUAGAUGUCCGGGGCUGCACGAGUCCUACACUGACUGGCUCAGCAUGUGCCUACCCUACGUGGCAGACGUGGGUAACCUGUUGAACCCCAUUGGUAUGGUGAUCGGGGAUUGCAAUUAUUCCCCAUGAAUGAGGAAUUCCCAGUAAGUGCGGGUCAUAGGCUUGCGUGAAGUCCCCGCCCUUUGUACACACCGCCGGUCGCUACUACUGAUUGGAUGGUUUAGUGAGGCCCUCGGAUCGGCCCCGCUGGGUCAGCCUGCUGCCCUGGCAGAGCACUGAGAAGACAGUCGAACUUGACUAUCUAGAGGCAGCAAAAGUCGUAACAAAGUUUCCGUAGGUGAACCUGUGGAAG